RNAcentral lists this ribosomal RNA (253 nucleotides) under uncultured bacterium. RNAcentral describes it as "partial 16S ribosomal RNA". It matches the Rfam family "Bacterial small subunit ribosomal RNA", at positions 524 to 776 of the family's 1533-position model. The record is from RNAcentral.
UACGAAGGGAGCUAACGUUGCUCGGAAUCAUUGGGCGUAAAGCGCACGUAGGCGGUCCAGCAAGUCGGGAGUGAAAUCCCUCGGCUUAACCGAGGAAGUGCUUUCGAAACUACUGGACUUGAAUACUGGAGAGGGUUGCGGAAUUCCCGGUGUAGAGGUGAAAUUCGUAGAUAUCGGGAGGAACACCAGUGGCGAAGGCGGCAACCUGGACAGAUAUUGACGCUGAGGUGCGAAAGCGUGGGGAGCAAACAGG